UACAGAGGGUGCAAGCGUUAAUCGGAAUGACUGGGCGUAAAGGGCGCGUAGGCGGAAGACCAAGCUGGAUGUGAAAGACCCGGGCUUAACCUGGGGGAGUCAUCCAUAACGGGUUAUCUGGAGUAGAGGAGAGGGGAGUGGAAUUCACAGUGUAGCGGUGAAAUGCGUAGAUAUUGUGAGGAACAUCGAUGGCGAAGGCAGCUCUCUGGCCUUAUACUGACGCUGAGGCGCGAAAGCAUGGGUAGCGAACAGG
Molecule: ribosomal RNA, 253 nt
Filed under: uncultured bacterium
Lineage: Bacteria
Description: partial 16S ribosomal RNA
Rfam family: Bacterial small subunit ribosomal RNA
Source: RNAcentral